RNAcentral lists this ribosomal RNA (644 nucleotides) under Ravinia vagabunda. RNAcentral's name for it is "eukaryotic LSU rRNA". It matches the Rfam family "Eukaryotic large subunit ribosomal RNA", at positions 690 to 1270 of the family's 3401-position model. The record is from RNAcentral. Lineage: Eukaryota; Metazoa; Arthropoda; Insecta; Diptera; Sarcophagidae.
GUUAUUGGGUAUCAAAACCUAAUAGCGAAAUUAACAUAACUUAUAUGGGAUUAGUUUUUAGAUUAUUUAUAGUCUAUUAAUUCAAUCCCGGGGCGUUCUAUUUGGUUAUGUAUAAUAAUAUUUAUAUUAUUUAUACCUCUAACUAGAGCGUACCUUGAGCAUAUAUGCUGUGACCCGAAAGAUGGUGAACUAUACUUGAUCAGGUUGAAGUCAGGGGAAACCCUGAUGGAAGACCGAAACAGUUCUGACGUGCAAAUCGAUUGUCAGAAUUGAGUAUAGGGGCGAAAGACCAAUCGAACCAUCUAGUAGCUGGUUCCCUCCGAAGUUUCCCUCAGGAUAGCUGGUGCAUUUAGAAAUUAUGUAAAAUAAUCUUAUCUGGUAAAGCGAAUGAUUAGAGGCCUUAGGGUCGAAACGACCUUAACCUAUUCUCAAACUUUAAAUGGGUAAGAACCUCACCUUUCUUGGUAUGAAGGUUGUGGUUGUGAUAUAAUGUGCCCAGUGGGCCACUUUUGGUAAGCAGAACUGGCGCUGUGGGAUGAACCAAACGUAAUGUUACGGUGCCCAAAUUAACAACUCAUGCAGAUACCAUGAAAGGCGUUGGUUGCUUAAAACAGCAGGACGGUGGACAUGGAAGUCGUAAUCCG